Molecule: small nucleolar RNA, 88 nt
Organism: Elaeis guineensis (African oil palm)
Lineage: Eukaryota; Viridiplantae; Streptophyta; Magnoliopsida; Arecales; Arecaceae
Source: RefSeq, a predicted model, not a curated record
GGGUGAUAUGAUGACCUCUAAUCCAUAGAAAUAUUUCUGCAGUUCAGAUGAUGAAUACAUAGAAACAUGCACUACCAUCUGAUCCCCC